Molecule: ribosomal RNA, 481 nt
Filed under: Salmonella enterica
Lineage: Bacteria; Pseudomonadati; Pseudomonadota; Gammaproteobacteria; Enterobacterales; Enterobacteriaceae
Description: bacterial SSU rRNA
Rfam family: Bacterial small subunit ribosomal RNA
Source: RNAcentral
ACAGGUGCUGCAUGGCUGUCGUCAGCUCGUGUUGUGAAAUGUUGGGUUAAGUCCCGCAACGAGCGCAACCCUUAUCCUUUGUUGCCAGCGAUUCGGUCGGGAACUCAAAGGAGACUGCCAGUGAUAAACUGGAGGAAGGUGGGGAUGACGUCAAGUCAUCAUGGCCCUUACGACCAGGGCUACACACGUGCUACAAUGGCGCAUACAAAGAGAAGCGACCUCGCGAGAGCAAGCGGACCUCAUAAAGUGCGUCGUAGUCCGGAUUGGAGUCUGCAACUCGACUCCAUGAAGUCGGAAUCGCUAGUAAUCGUGGAUCAGAAUGCCACGGUGAAUACGUUCCCGGGCCUUGUACACACCGCCCGUCACACCAUGGGAGUGGGUUGCAAAAGAAGUAGGUAGCUUAACCUUCGGGAGGGCGCUUACCACUUUGUGAUUCAUGACUGGGGUGAAGUCGUAACAAGGUAACCGUAGGGGAACCUGC